Molecule: ribosomal RNA, 504 nt
Filed under: uncultured bacterium
Lineage: Bacteria
Description: partial 16S ribosomal RNA
Rfam family: Bacterial small subunit ribosomal RNA
Source: RNAcentral
AUUGAACGCUGGCGGAAUGCUUUACACAUGCAAGUCGAACGGCAGCACGGAGAGCUUGCUCUCUGGUGGCGAGUGGCGAACGGGUGAGUAAUAUAUCGGAACGUGUCCAAUAAUGGGGGAUAACGAGUCGAAAGAUUCGCUAAUACCGCAUACGCCCUACGGGGGAAAGCAGGGGAUCGUAAGACCUUGCGUUAAUGGAGCGGCCGAUAUCUGAUUAGCUAGUUGGUGAGGUAAAGGCUCACCAAGGCGACGAUCAGUAGCUGGUUUGAGAGAACGACCAGCCACACUGGAACUGAGACACGGUCCAGGCUCCUACGGGAGGCAGCAGUGGGGAAUUUUGGACAAUGGGAGCAACCCUGAUCCAGCCAUUCCGCGUGAGUGAAGAAGGCCUUCGGGUUGUAAAGCUCUUUCGCAAGGGAAGAAAACUUAUGAUCGAAUAAAUCAUGAGGUUGACGGUACCUUGAUAAGAAGCACCGGCUAACUACGUGCCAGCAGCCGCGGUAA